UACGUAGGGUGCAAGCGUUGUUCGGAAUUACUGGGCGUAAAGCGCGUGUAGGCUGCUCUGCAAGUCGGAUGUGAAAGCCCUGGGCUCAACCUAGGAAGUGCAUUCGAAACUGCAGAGCUGGAGUCCUGGAGAGGAAGGCGGAAUUCUCGGUGUAGAGGUGAAAUUCGUAGAUAUCGAGAGGAACACCGGUGGCGAAGGCGGCCUUCUGGACAGUGACUGACGCUGAGACGCGAAAGCGUGGGGAGCAAACAGG
Molecule: ribosomal RNA, 253 nt
Filed under: uncultured bacterium
Lineage: Bacteria
Description: partial 16S ribosomal RNA
Rfam family: Bacterial small subunit ribosomal RNA
Source: RNAcentral